This 73-nucleotide transfer RNA is filed under the name Candidatus Fibrimonadaceae bacterium. RNAcentral describes it as "tRNA-Met". It matches the Rfam family "tRNA". From Rfam's summary of the family: Transfer RNA (tRNA) molecules are approximately 80 nucleotides in length. Lineage: Bacteria; Pseudomonadati; Fibrobacterota; Fibrobacteria; Candidatus Fibrimonadales; Candidatus Fibrimonadaceae. The record is from RNAcentral.
CGCGGGGUAGAGCAGUUGGUAGCUCGUCGGGCUCAUAACCCGGAGGUCGUAGGUUCAAGUCCUACCCCCGCAA